Molecule: long non-coding RNA, 1320 nt
Organism: Pteropus alecto (black flying fox)
Lineage: Eukaryota; Metazoa; Chordata; Mammalia; Chiroptera; Pteropodidae
Exons: 3
Source: RefSeq, a predicted model, not a curated record
AACCUACGAAGUGAAACUCUUAGCCCUCGCGUUGCCUUACUUCAGUGAAGUAACUCAGUUUUAUUUUUUAAUCUGUCACGUCUCAUGUUAAAUGUAUAAGUCUCUGAACUCAAGCCUUACGCAGAGGAAAUUGCCAUGAGUACUCCAAGAUUCCAGUUUCUACUGUUAAGAACGCGAUGACAGAAAGCUGAUGGAUGGCUCCACCAAAUCAAGAAAAAUGAAGAGAGGGAAUACAGAAAAGAGAGCCAAUACAAGAGAAGAGAAGAGGAAACCCUGGAAUGAAGGAAGUUAAUUUGGGGAAGAUUAUUUUGGAUCCUACAGGGGAGGACAUGCAAAAAGAAAAAGGCAAACACACAGCUGAGAAGCCAUGACCUACAUCUCAUCAUGUCAAAAGCAACCCUGGGAAUAUUUUGCCAGAGAAAUUAUACUCAUCACAGAGCUAAAGGAGGUUAAUGACUUUAAAAAAAAAAAAGCUUAAUGAGGUUAAAAAAUAAAUCAUCAAAGGUGCCAGACUGUAUAUACUAGAAUCCACUUAUGCAAAACAAAAACAAACUCACAUAUAUGCUUAUACCCACUAUACAAAAUGUUUAAGAUACACACAAAACUGAUAACAGUGGCUGCUUAUAGUGAGGGGCUCUAGAAAUUUGGGGUGGGAGAGGCUUCCUUUUCAUUGUGUACUCUUUAUACUCUGAAAUUUAUUUUCCACGAGCCAUGUUUUCCUCUUAAAAUUGUAUUUCAGAUGAACAAGAAAGGUAAUGAUAUAAUAAACAUCUAGGUUCCCACCUCAGGGCUUAAGAAAUAAAACGAUUAAGACUUAAUUGAAGCCUCCGGCAUAGCCAUCCCAAGAGACAAUAGCUCUCUUGAAUUUGGUGUUCAUCCUUCCUAUAAAUGCUUUUACAUGUGAUGCUUUUUCUAUUAAAAAAAAAAAAAACUUAAAAAUAAGCUUCAGGAUUCUAGACUCUUCUAUGUCCACCUCCCACACCUACACAAAGUGAGGCUCCUGUUACGGAGGAAUCUGGUAUCCAAAGUGGAGUGUGAGAGAAGACUGGGGAAUAGGAGCAUCCAGAUUUGAAUUCAGCCUCCUGCAUUUACUCCCACCGUGACUUUAGGCAACCUCCGCCUCCUCUGAAAUCAUGCUAAGUACCCUUCCCAUAGUUCGAGGAUUCAACGAGAUCACAACGUUAAGGCCAUCGGUCCAGUGCCUAGCCUAUGGUGAAGGCUCAAUAAAUAUUAGCUAUUAUCAUUAUGUCUGCCCUCCUCCCAAGGGUGGGGGCAAGGAAGAUGCCUAAAUGUGGGGGAAAAAAGGUCUCAUUUCUAUCC